This 424-nucleotide ribosomal RNA is filed under the name uncultured prokaryote. RNAcentral's name for it is "bacterial SSU rRNA". It matches the Rfam family "Bacterial small subunit ribosomal RNA", at positions 355 to 796 of the family's 1533-position model. The record is from RNAcentral.
UGGGGAAUCUUGCGCAAUGGGCGCAAGCCUGAUGCAGCCAUGCCGCGUGAGUGAAGAAGGCCUUAGGGUUGUAAAACUCUUUCACCGGUGAAGAUAAUGACGGUAACCGGAGAAGAAGCCCCGGCUAACUCCGUGCCAGCAGCCGCGGUAAUACGGAGGGGGCUAGCGUUGUUCGGAAUCACUGGGCGUAAAGCGCACGUAGGCGGAUUGAUAAGUUGGGGGUGAAAGCCCGAGGCUUAACCUCGGAACUGCCCUCAAUACUGCCAGUCUUGAGUCCGGGAGAGGUGAGUGGAAUUCCUAGUGUAGAGGUGAAAUUCGUAGAUAUUAGGAAGAACACCGGUGGCGAAGGCGGCUCACUGGCCCGGUACUGACGCUGAGGUGCGAAAGCGUGGGGAGCAAACAGGAUUAGAUACCCGGGUAGUCC